GUGCUGGCAGUUUUGUAUUCACUUGUUAAAUACACAGGACUCUUCACCUCUGUGUUUGCAUUGUUCCAGUUCAUUAUCCACGAGGUUACAACAGCAGACGAGGUCUGGGUGAAGUUACUGAUCAGCUCAGCUAAAGCUGAGACCCGCUCUCAAAGGACACAGUUUUAUCCAGUUUCCUUAUGGCCCAGGUCCUGUAUGGCACACCUGCCAGUGACAGCCUCACCUGUAACUUGUUUUCCUUCUGGAACAGCAGGUCCCAAAUCUGUGGUAAGUCUUCUUCCACCUUGCCUUAACCAUGGCAGUACAUGAACAACCUGUAGGAAGGUUGGACUCGAUGAUCUUGAGGUCUCUUCCAACCUAGAAAUUCUGUGAUUCUGUGAAUUGUGUCACUGGGACUGACUUAAGACUUGUCCACUCAUGGCUGACCCUGAGUUAGACCCACAGAAUUAGAUGGAUUCAGGAUGUUUUGUUCCUCUCUACUGAGUUUCAUCCUGUCACUUGUGGCUGGAAAUUAGAGGUCCAGCAGCACAAACACCCAAGUAUUGAUGUCUGGUUUAUAUGCUGAAAUCUGACACAAGAUUUGGUAGGAAGCUGCAGUGCUGCCCUACAGCUUAUCUCAGGCCCAUGUUGCUCUGUGCAUACAUGAGAGAGUAUCCUUGCAUCUCCUGAGCUUUGCUUGGUGUAGAAAACAAGUGGACAGGUCUUCCUUGCUUCAUGCAGCUUUACAGUGAGCUAGUUUUAUCCUGAACUUGUAAAGAGAUCAUCCGAUUUGUUCCUGAUGCUUUGAUCUUGUGGCCUAAGGUAGAAUGAAGUAGCUGAGUGAAGUAGCUGAGCUACUGAGCUGAGGAGGUGUUUUACAGGCAGCAAAAGUCCUCUGGAAGCUGGCUAAGCAAAUUCUGGAUUACAGCACAGCCGCCAGGAUCUGACAUGUGUUUCUAUGCAUUACAAAACUGUAAGUUCCCAAGACUUCCAUGAUCUUUAGUAUCAAUCAAAGGUAGAAGAGAGCCCAUCAAAACCUUUCUUUUUUUUUCUCCUUUUUUAUAUAAGAAGCAAGCAGAUAUUCAGUCACUUCCUGUUGAAAAGAGCUCGACCAAAACCCUCAUGUUUAACCCUGUCAAUGUUGUCUUCCCCAUCAAGCAUAAAGGCAUUGCAAACUCUCUCUUCAGGGAAUGAGGAAGCAAGAAAUAACAUAGAAGUGUAUUGUGCUAUUUCUUGAGCAAACUGGAUGUGAAAGGCAGAAUUAAUGACAAACCAUAAACUUUCCAUGGAAAAAAG
RNAcentral lists this long non-coding RNA (1275 nucleotides) under Anas platyrhynchos platyrhynchos (common mallard). Its description in RNAcentral is "lncRNA (ENSAPLG00000030061.1)". Lineage: Eukaryota; Metazoa; Chordata; Aves; Anseriformes; Anatidae. The record is from RNAcentral.